Molecule: ribosomal RNA, 26 nt
Filed under: Pristionchus sp. MJ-2005
Lineage: Eukaryota; Metazoa; Nematoda; Chromadorea; Rhabditida; Neodiplogasteridae
Description: partial 28S ribosomal RNA
Source: RNAcentral
AUGUGACGCGCUACUCUUAUAUCAUC